Molecule: long non-coding RNA, 683 nt
Filed under: Rattus norvegicus (Norway rat)
Lineage: Eukaryota; Metazoa; Chordata; Mammalia; Rodentia; Muridae
Description: long non-coding RNA NONRATT016103
Source: RNAcentral
GGGAAGGGCUCGGCUUGCUCUAUUUCUUCUGCACUCAGCAAAGUCGAUUAAAUAUCUUUGUCUUGUCUCCUGGAAUUUAAUUAUGAAAGCCUCUCUGGCUUCUCCACACCAUGUUCAAGUCCAAGCCAAUUAAAGGAGAGUACCGACUUGAGUUUCCCCCAAUGAGACACCGCUCAGAACCCUCACUGUGUACAAAGAGAAGCCCAGCCCAGGGGCAGCAGACAAGAGGGAGAAUUACGCUGUCAAGAAUUCCAGCUGUCUCACCACUAGUGAGUGCUGCAUGUCCAGAAAGGGCUGGCGGGAUGGACUGCUGGACAUAGAAGUCCUGCAACCUUGGGUGGACCAAACAUGGAGUCUGUCUCAGAGACGUUGACAAGACUUGCAUGAGAUGAUUGAAAUGGAGAGUUUGUCACCAUGCCUGCUACUCGAACUGAGAUGAUCACCAUAAAGGAUUUGAACAAUACUGUGAUAAUGAGAGACACACUCACCACGUGAGAACAACGGGGACUCUCCCUUGAGCUGAGGAAGACUCAGAGGAACUACGAAAGUGCAACUCCAUUUUUAACAAAUGAAGAAGACUCUAAUUUCAAAACUCUCCACGUCAUAAGAGACCAAAAGAGUCUACAGAUAUGAACUAAAUUAUAUUUAAAAAAAUGACAUGAGAAUUAAACAUCUAAAAAUCU